This is a non-coding RNA of Lactuca sativa (garden lettuce), 1436 nucleotides long. The record is from RefSeq and is a predicted model, not a curated record. Lineage: Eukaryota; Viridiplantae; Streptophyta; Magnoliopsida; Asterales; Asteraceae.
GAACCUUAAAUCUCGCGUAUUGUUUUCCUAUCUCUGUUUUUCUUAUCUUUGACUUGGAUUUUUUUUUUUCAUUUGAAUUCUCACUUGAACUCAGUCAAACACGUUUGGAUUCAGUAGAUGAGUUUCUUUAAUCCUUUGCAUCAAUCUCGGCCCCAGAAUAGCUCUCCCAUAACCGAUCCCUCUUUUUCCCUAAAAUAUUUCAGGAAUUGGAAGCAACAUGUAGGAUAUGUGGAACCCUCUUCCCUCUCACAAUCGCCACCUCUUCAAUUCGAACGCUCCCUUUUAAUACCAGCUACAUGGGCUUAGAUCUUUUACAACCAUUCAUUCUUGAAGUCAGUUCCAACCUCCAAACGUUGAAAACAUCGAUGGAAAUUACAGACUCAUAGGCAUCCCUGAUUUCGCUGUUCUCUUCCCUAUUUCUCUCACCGAUUUCCUGUUUUGAUUUUAAGAAACAGAUGCUAGGGCUAUCGCCUGAUAUCAAUUUACUCUUUUAGGACUUGUGUGGAUACUCACCACCAACCAUCGCUAUUGCGCUGCUGCUAAACCGACCGCUUUCAUCCACCCAUCGUAAUCGUAAGUUUGGGUUUAUUUGAAUUUGUGUCCAAAUCACCUCUGAAAUGCUUCUAUGAUUCAGCUUCGAUCCUUCAUAUGUGAAGAACAAACCGACAUCCUUGCUCUUUGGAGGCCAUGGAUCGUUCACUCCAGAUGUUGUGGACAAUGGCAAUAACGAUCAGAUCGCUAAAGAAACUGUGUAGCUGAAAAUUCAAUGGAGGCUAAAUGAAUUUGACGGGUGAUGUAGGCAUGGUCUCAAAAUGGUCAUAUGAUGCUCCUACUAUAUCUUGGGCUUUGCAAAAAGCUUGCUUGCUACUGGUGCUUACACAUGGCUUGCAAAGGUUUCUUCAAUAUUGUAUUUAUGCUCUUUUUUACAAUGAAACUUAUCGGAAGAAAUGAUAUUUUUAUUUGAUUUUUUCAGUAAAUAUUCUUUUUAAUUGAAAUCCAAAUGAAACAAAUGUAAAGCUUCAGGUUACCUGCAGAAGAGCGAGUUUUCCAUCAAAUUAUCAAGAGACUUUGUCCUGUUUGUUCGUGCAUGGGGCAUGAAUGUGGUUGCUUCCCAUUUUUUGCAGGACCGAUAAGUUGUGAUAAACUUUUUAGAAGAUAAAUAGUUGUUGAUGCUACUCAAACAAAAUAAGUUAUCAUUAAUUUCAUUGAAAUUCUUAAAUUUUGGGAUGAUUUGUUAUUUUCCUGCUAUAUUGGGACUAUUUAGGCGAUAAAAAGGGGUUGUUGUGGGGCUCUAUUGCAGCAAGGUUAGUAAUCGGUUUCAUACAAUCAAAAAGCAAUAAAUAUACUUUCUCUUAUCUGUGUGUUAAUCCAACAUGAUGUAUGUAUGCACUAAAAGCUCUUCUAACGAUUCAUUAAGUAUUUUAUCUUCAACUUUA